GAGGGUAUAGCUCAAGUGGUAGAGUGCCUUCUCAGCAUGUAUGAGGUCCUGGGUUCAAUCCCCAGUACCUCCA
Molecule: transfer RNA, 73 nt
Filed under: Camelus bactrianus (Bactrian camel)
Lineage: Eukaryota; Metazoa; Chordata; Mammalia; Artiodactyla; Camelidae
Also listed under: 2 other names
Rfam family: tRNA
About the family: Transfer RNA (tRNA) molecules are approximately 80 nucleotides in length. Their secondary structure includes four short double-helical elements and three loops (D, anti-codon, and T loops).
Source: Rfam by way of RNAcentral